Molecule: ribosomal RNA, 303 nt
Filed under: uncultured bacterium
Lineage: Bacteria
Description: partial 16S ribosomal RNA
Rfam family: Bacterial small subunit ribosomal RNA
Source: RNAcentral
AGCAGUCGCCACGGUAAUACGGAGGGUGCAAGCGUUAAUCGGAAUUACUGGGCGUAAAGCGCACGCAGGCGGUCUGACAAGUCAGAUGUGAAAUCCCCGGGCUUAACCUGGGAACUGCAUUUGAAACUGUCAGGCUGGAGUCUUGUAGAGGGGGGUAGAAUUCCAGGUGUAGCGGUGAAAUGCGUAGAGAUCUGGAGGAAUACCGGUGGCGAAGGCGGCCCCCUGGACAAAGACUGACGCUCAGGUGCGAAAGCGUGGGGAGCAAACAGGAUUAGAUACCCCUGUAGUCCCUGUCUCUUAUAC